RNAcentral lists this transfer RNA (82 nucleotides) under Apaloderma vittatum (bar-tailed trogon). It matches the Rfam family "tRNA". Rfam says of the family: Transfer RNA (tRNA) molecules are approximately 80 nucleotides in length. Their secondary structure includes four short double-helical elements and three loops (D, anti-codon, and T loops). Lineage: Eukaryota; Metazoa; Chordata; Aves; Trogoniformes; Trogonidae. The record is from Rfam by way of RNAcentral.
GGCUGGUUAGCCCAGUGGUUUGGGCGCCAUGCUCACAACAAUGACCGACGCCAAGGUCGUGGGUUCGAUUCCCACUCAGUCC